This 419-nucleotide ribosomal RNA is filed under the name uncultured Bifidobacterium sp. RNAcentral's name for it is "bacterial SSU rRNA". It matches the Rfam family "Bacterial small subunit ribosomal RNA", at positions 213 to 640 of the family's 1533-position model. The record is from RNAcentral. Lineage: Bacteria; Bacillati; Actinomycetota; Actinomycetes; Bifidobacteriales; Bifidobacteriaceae.
UAUCGGUAUGGGAUGGGGUCGCGUCCUAUCAGCUUGAUGGCGGGGUAACGGCCCACCAUGGCUUCGACGGGUAGCCGGCCUGAGAGGGCGACCGGCCACAUUGGGACUGAGAUACGGCCCAGACUCCUACGGGAGGCAGCAGUGGGGAAUAUUGCACAAUGGGCGCAAGCCUGAUGCAGCGACGCCGCGUGCGGGAUGACGGCCUUCGGGUUGUAAACCGCUUUUGACUGGGAGCAAGCCCUUCGGGGUGAGUGUACCUUUCGAAUAAGCACCGGCUAACUACGUGCCAGCAGCCGCGGUAAUACGUAGGGUGCAAGCGUUAUCCGGAAUUAUUGGGCGUAAAGGGCUCGUAGGCGGUUCGUCGCGUCCGGUGUGAAAGUCCAUCGCUUAACGGUGGAUCUGCGCCGGGUACGGGCGGG